AUUGAACGCUGGCGGCAUGCCUUACACAUGCAAGUCGAACGGCAGCACGGACUUCGGUCUGGUGGCGAGUGGCGAACGGGUGAGUAAUGUAUCGGAACGUACCUUUCAGUGGGGGAUAACGUAGCGAAAGUUACGCUAAUACCGCAUAUUCUGUGAGCAGGAAAGCAGGGGAUCGCAAGACCUUGCGCUGAUUGAGCGGCCGAUAUCAGAUUAGCUAGUUGGUGAGGUAAAGGCUCACCAAGGCGACGAUCUGUAGCGGGUCUGAGAGGAUGAUCCGCCACACUGGAACUGAGACACGGUCCAGACUCCUACGGAGGCAGCAGUGGGGAAUUUUGGACAAUGGGGGCAACCCUGAUCCAGCCAUGCCGCGUGAGUGAAGAAGGCCUUCGGGUU
RNAcentral lists this ribosomal RNA (393 nucleotides) under uncultured bacterium. RNAcentral describes it as "bacterial SSU rRNA". It matches the Rfam family "Bacterial small subunit ribosomal RNA", at positions 30 to 424 of the family's 1533-position model. The record is from RNAcentral.